ACAAGAAUCUACAGGUCGAGCAAGUCUCGUAAAUUUCACGAUUGCGAGCCACGCUUCACGCAACCGUGUUUGCGUACUUGUGUUUCGAGUUGCGUGGUCGUGCGGAGUUAUAUUUACCAAAUUUAAAUAUAAUCGUUUUCAAAAUUAAAUCAAUAUGGCUACUGGGUGUAAAAGAUAAAUCUUAUUCUAUCUGUUCUUAAUGAGUUUUAGAUAAUUUUAGUUGUAUUUCUUUGUAAUUUUGUGUUGUACAAAGAUUAAUUUAACAUUUUCUCUGGAAGUAUUAAUUUAGAAAGAUAAUAUGCUUCAUUGGUGUUGUGUUGUGAAGUGUGAAAUGCAAAGUAAUUGUGAUAAAGUCAAGAUAAAGUUCACUUUUAAACUGAACUAAAUAAGGUAUCUGAGAGACAACAAUGGUUAAAUGCAAUACAAUGUACAGGUUUUACUAGCGAAAUGAAAAUUUUCCUGUCCUGUCUGCUGUAAUCAUUUUAUAUCUGGAAAACCAGCCGACUUAAUCGAUAAUAACAAUCUCCAGAUUGGGUUCCUUCAAUAAAUAUGGUCUAUAAACACAAUGAAAUAAGUUCCCCAAAAUCUAAAAUGGAGUGGUAUCAAAGGAGAAUUAAAGGGAAAAAUAUUCAUAUUGAAAUUAUUUAUAAGGAACUGGACUGUCUUAAAUUCUACAAUAAUACUAGUAUCAGCUGAGAGAAGUGGUCUACAAAAAACCAGGAAGGAAACGGAAUAUGUGGCUACGAAAGGCAAAAGGAAGGUUUACAAAGCAAAUGUGACACAUUUUUUUGAAAUAUUUAGGAAUAUCAGUAAAUUGCAUUAAAAAAAUGUAUGAAAAGAUUUUGUUCAAUAAAAAUGUUUAUAUUUA
Molecule: long non-coding RNA, 868 nt
Organism: Diabrotica virgifera virgifera (western corn rootworm)
Lineage: Eukaryota; Metazoa; Arthropoda; Insecta; Coleoptera; Chrysomelidae
Exons: 3
Source: RefSeq, a predicted model, not a curated record